RNAcentral lists this ribosomal RNA (483 nucleotides) under uncultured bacterium. RNAcentral describes it as "bacterial SSU rRNA". It matches the Rfam family "Bacterial small subunit ribosomal RNA", at positions 28 to 513 of the family's 1533-position model. The record is from RNAcentral.
GAUGAACGCUAGCGGCAGGCUUAACACAUGCAAGUCGAGGGGUAUAGUAGCAAUACUAGAGACCGGCGCACGGGUGCGUAACGCGUAUGCAACCUACCUUUUACAGAGGGAUAGCCCAGAGAAAUGUGGAUUAAUACCUCAUAGUUCUGAGAAGUCGCAUGAUUUUUCAGAUAAAAACUCCGGUGGUUAUAGAUGGGCAUGCGUGACAUUAGCUAGUUGGUAAGGUAACGGCUUACCAAGGCAACGAUGUCUAGGGGUUCUGAGAGGAUGAUCCCCCANACUGGUACUGAGACACGGACCAGACUCCCACGGGAGGCAGCAGUAAGGAAUAUUGGUCAAUGGACGGAAGUCUGAACCAGCCAUCCCGCGUGCAGGAUGACUGCCCUAUGGGUUGUAAACUGCUUUUAGCAGAGACGAAACGCCUUCAUUUAUGAGGGUCUGACGGUAUCUGCAGAAUAAGCACCGGCUAACUACGUGCCAGCA